RNAcentral lists this transfer RNA (77 nucleotides) under Escherichia coli. Its description in RNAcentral is "tRNA-Thr". Lineage: Bacteria; Pseudomonadati; Pseudomonadota; Gammaproteobacteria; Enterobacterales; Enterobacteriaceae. The record is from RNAcentral.
GCCGAUAUGGCUCAGUUCUUACAACGCCGCCCUUGGUAAGGGUGAGGUCCCCAGUUCGACUCUGGGUAUCAGCACCA